Long non-coding RNA from Molossus molossus (Pallas's mastiff bat), 228 nucleotides. RefSeq lists it as uncharacterized. NCBI's taxonomy places the organism in Eukaryota, Metazoa, Chordata, Mammalia, Chiroptera, Molossidae. The record is from RefSeq and is a predicted model, not a curated record. The transcript is spliced from 3 exons.
UCAGAUCGUCCUACAUCCUCCAACAACCUCUCAAAAUGAUUUUCCGCACAGUAAAACCAUCAGAGGAUUCAGACACAUGAAUUGACUUGCUCCUCAUUGGUGUUUUCAUUGACCCUAAGCUUCUUUGUCUUCAUCUGUUGUUGUUAGAGUUACAAUAUCUGUUCGCUGAAAUGAAGGUAGAGUGAAAGGGAAGGGGGAGAGAGAGAGAGAGAGAGAGAGAUUGAGAGA